Long non-coding RNA from Daucus carota subsp. sativus, 1513 nucleotides. RefSeq lists it as uncharacterized. Lineage: Eukaryota; Viridiplantae; Streptophyta; Magnoliopsida; Apiales; Apiaceae. The record is from RefSeq and is a predicted model, not a curated record. The transcript is spliced from 3 exons.
AAGCUCAGCACUCAGGCGAAUACAAGCGCGCGAGAAUGAGGGGAAUAGUCUGGGAGAUUCAAGCUAGAGAAAGUCUCGAGAUCGAAGAUUCAAGCUCGCAGAACCCACUCAAUUGCUCGAACAACAUUUAAUCUCGUAGAGAGACUGGAGCACGAAUCUGAUAUCCCCCCUGUGAGCCCAAUGCGUGUUAUGCCUCUAUAUGCAAUGCUUCCUGCAUCUGCUCAGCUUCAAGUAUUUAACAAGGUGAACGAUGGAGAGAGCCUAGUAGUUAUUGCCACAAAUGUUGCUGAGACCUCUUUAACCAUUCCAGGUACAAAGUAUGUGGUGGACACCGGAAGAGAAAAUGUGAAGAUGUACGAUUCUACAAAUGGAAUGGAAACAUAUAAUGUACAGUGGAUAAGUAAAGCAUCUGCUGCACAACGUGCUGGGAGAGCUGGAAGAACAGGGCCUGGCCACUGUUAUUGCCUCUAUUCUUCUACCAUGUUCAACAACUUUCACAAGUUCUCAAAUGCUGAAAUUUCUAAGAAUCCUGUUGAUGGAGUUGUCCUUCUCAUGAAGUCCAUGGGUAUCGAUAAGGUAUGCUUUCUUUUAUCAGAUCUAUUUGAGAUGUGACCUUUUACAAUACAUAGUUCUGUUUGAUCCGUACUUUAUCUGUAGAAAUUUCUGAGUAAAAAUUUGUGCAUAUUUUUUGUUGAAAUUAGAAAUAUUCUACACACAACAUACACGUAUCUAAUCGUGUGCCAAAGAAACUUUAUAGCUAUGUAUUUUUACUUGUUUUUUUUUUCUUAUGCAAUACAGUUAAAAAUUUGAACCCAAUAAAAUAUAUCAGGACACCGUUAUUUACGAAUCAUGCCAUGCGGGAUGGAUGCCAAUUGCCGAGUGUCUCAGCAAUCACACUGUUACAAAAGACAGCUAUUGUGCACAUUGUGCAACACUUAUUACACAGCCGCAUUGGAACUCUUCUAGAUGGCCCGGCACAUGCUUUGAAGCAUUCAUGGCCAUAGUAUCUUUUACGAGAAUGUUUGUGUGUAGACACACACACUUGUAUCACUGAGUAUGAUAGGUUCUUAAAGGAAACAUCACAAUAGUAGGGAAAAAACAUUAGCUGCAACUACAUUGGUCGCGGUUGAAUCCCAAUAGCAAAGCCUGGCAUUUCAAAGGUCUCGCAGAAUCCCAGCAACAAAGCCUGACUAUAAUGCAUGCAUAUAUGAGAACGAAGAAAAGAAUAAUGAGGCAACAGUGUUAUGUUCUUGAAAUUUGAAGAAAAGUAAAUACAAGGAUGACAGUCUUCUUAAAUUAAUUAGUUUUAAUUAUCUCUGUCUAGACUACAUACUUUUAUUUAGAUUAUGCCUUAGAAUUUAUUGACUAACUAUGUAUGCGACUUAGAUUUGGAAUGGUUUGUAAGACUUUGUAAAGGUCAUGGUACCGCUUUUGGAUUGUUGGCUGCUUGAUGCUAAUUGGGAUUCUGAAUAGACAAUUGAAAUUUGUGGCUAUGUAUGCCUGGCUAUUUGUA